GCGCCGCUAGCUCAGCUGGAUAGAGCGUUGGUCUACGGAACCAAAGGCCAGGAGUUCGAAUCUCUUGCGGCGCGCCA
Molecule: transfer RNA, 77 nt
Filed under: Clostridiales bacterium
Lineage: Bacteria; Bacillati; Bacillota; Clostridia; Eubacteriales
Description: tRNA-Arg
Rfam family: tRNA
About the family: Transfer RNA (tRNA) molecules are approximately 80 nucleotides in length. Their secondary structure includes four short double-helical elements and three loops (D, anti-codon, and T loops).
Source: RNAcentral